Molecule: ribosomal RNA, 488 nt
Filed under: uncultured bacterium
Lineage: Bacteria
Description: bacterial SSU rRNA
Rfam family: Bacterial small subunit ribosomal RNA
Source: RNAcentral
AGGAUGAACGCUGGCGGCGUGCUUAACACAUGCAAGUCGAACGGAGUUUUAACGGAGGUUUCGGAUGGAAGUUUAGAACUUAGUGGCGGACGGGUGAGUAACGCGUGGGUAACCUGCCUCAUACAGGGGGAUAACAGUUAGAAAUGACUGCUAACACCGCAUAAUAUAGCGAAACCGCAUGAUUUUGCUAUCAAAUAUUUAUAGGUAUGAGAUGGGCCCGCGUCUGAUUAGCUAGUUGGUGGGGUAAAGCCUACCAAGGCGACGAUCAGUAGCCGGCUUGAGAGAGUGACCGGCCACAUUGGGACUGAGACACGGCCCAAACUCCUACGGGAGGCAGCAGUGGGGAAUAUUGGACAAUGGGGGAAACCCUGAUCCAGCGAACCGCCGCGUGAGUGAAGAAGUAUUUCGGUAUGUAAAGCUCUAUCAGCAGGGAAGAUAAUGACAGUACCUGACUAAGAAGCCCCGGCUAACUACGUGCCAGCAGCCGC